ACCUGUUGCUACCUGAAAUUAAU
RNAcentral lists this microRNA (23 nucleotides) under Strongylocentrotus purpuratus (purple sea urchin). RNAcentral describes it as "Spu-Mir-2007_3p* (star (passenger))". The record is from RNAcentral. Lineage: Eukaryota; Metazoa; Echinodermata; Echinoidea; Camarodonta; Strongylocentrotidae.